This is a non-coding RNA of Papio anubis (olive baboon), 147 nucleotides long. The record is from Rfam. NCBI's taxonomy places the organism in Eukaryota, Metazoa, Chordata, Mammalia, Primates, Cercopithecidae.
GCCUGGGCAACAGAGCCAGACUCUGUCUAAAAAAAAAAAAAAAAAAAAAACUUGAUGGUGCCCAUCUCAUGUCAGCCACAACCCCUUGUUUAUCCCAGCUUGGCUUCUGGUCUAUGCCCAUGCCUGGUUUAUGCUUUGGACACAUAG